GACGAACGCUGGCGGCGUGCUUAACACAUGCAAGUCGAGCGAAAAGGCCACUUCGGUGGUACUCGAGCGGCGAACGGGUGAGUAACACGUGAGUAAUCUGCCCCUGGCUUUGGGAUAGCCACCGGAAACGGUGAUUAAUACCGGAUACGACCACUUCUCGCAUGGGAUGGUGGUGGAAAGUUUUUUCGGCCAGGGAUGUGCUCGCGGCCUAUCAGCUUGAUGGUGAGGUAAUGGCUCACCAUGGCUUCGACGGGUAGCCGGCCUGAGAGGGUGACCGGUCACACUGGGACUGAGGCACGGCCCAGACUCCUACGGGAGGCAGCAGUGGGGAAUAUUGGACAAUGGGCGGAAGCCUGAUCCAGCAACGCCGCGUGAGGGAUGACGGCCUUCGGGUUGUAAACCUCUUUCAGCAGGGACGAAGCGCAAGUGACGGUACCUGCAGAAGAAGCACCGGCCAACUACGUGCCAGCCGCCGCGGUAA
Molecule: ribosomal RNA, 481 nt
Filed under: uncultured bacterium
Lineage: Bacteria
Description: partial 16S ribosomal RNA
Rfam family: Bacterial small subunit ribosomal RNA
Source: RNAcentral